UGGGAAUAUGCCUUAGGGUGGGGGACAACAGUUGGAAACGACUGCUAAUGCCGCAUAACGUCUACGGACCAAAGGGGGCUUCGGCUCUCGCCCUUAGAUUAGCCCAAGUGGGAUUAGCUAGUUGGUGAGGUAAUGGCUCACCAAGGCGACGAUCCCUAGCUGGUUUGAGAGGAUGAUCAGCCACACUGGAACUGAGACACGGUCCAGACUCCUACGGGAGGCAGCAGUGGGGAAUAUUGCACAAUGGGCGCAAGCCUGAUGCAGCCAUGCCGCGUGUGUGAAGAAGGCCUUAGGGUUGUAAAGCACUUUCAGUAAGGAGGAAAGGUUAGUAGUUAAUACCUGCUAGCUGUGACGUUACUUACAGAAGAAUCACCGGCUAACUCCGUGCCAGCAGCCGCGGUAAUACGGAGGGUGCGAGCGUUAAUCGGAAUUACUGGGCGUAAAGCGUACGCAGGCGGGUUUGUUAAGCGAGAUGUGAAAGCCCCGGGCUCAA
This 493-nucleotide ribosomal RNA is filed under the name uncultured bacterium. Its description in RNAcentral is "bacterial SSU rRNA". It matches the Rfam family "Bacterial small subunit ribosomal RNA", at positions 118 to 612 of the family's 1533-position model. The record is from RNAcentral.